GACGGAGGGUGCAAGCGUUGUUCGGAAUUACUGGGUGUAAAGGGUUCGUAGGCGGUGCGGCAAGUUGGGAGUGAAAUCUCUGGGCUCAACCCAGAGGCUGCUUCCAAAACUGCUGUGCUUGAGUGUGGGAGAGGCGCGUGGAAUUGCAGGUGUAGCGGUGAAAUGCGUAGAUAUCUGCAGGAACACCCGUGGCGAAAGCGGCGCGCUGGACCACAACUGACGCUGAGGAACGAAAGCUAGGGGAGCAAACAGG
Molecule: ribosomal RNA, 253 nt
Filed under: uncultured bacterium
Lineage: Bacteria
Description: partial 16S ribosomal RNA
Rfam family: Bacterial small subunit ribosomal RNA
Source: RNAcentral